UUGCUUUGGUAGCAUGCCUACUAAAAUUGGAACGAUACAAAGAUGAUUAGCAUGGCCCCUGAGCAAAAAGGACAUGCAAAUUCAUGAACUAUUUCACUUUUUU
Molecule: small nuclear RNA, 103 nt
Organism: Microtus ochrogaster (prairie vole)
Lineage: Eukaryota; Metazoa; Chordata; Mammalia; Rodentia; Cricetidae
Source: Ensembl